AAAUAAACAGUAAAGAUCGGUCGGUGUCAAGAUCUGCGUCUUCUUCUCAAAACCGAUAACAUCUACUCAUUUAAUUGAUCAUAGGAUUUUAACCAGAAUUUGAAGGUGGACAUCGCCGCUUUUCGAUGUUAAUAGCAAGGAACUCGGCCCAGAUGUUCUUGGCAUGAGCAAGAGAAGUCUAUGGAGUCAUUUUACCCAAAAGAAUAGGAAUAUCGGCCUGGAGGUGCACCUGUCCUGGACAUCAGCCGUGCUGCCCAUGGAAUCAUCAGAUAUAAGUUGAGUUGGCGUCACAGUGAUUACAGCUGGUCCUGUUAUUUUAUUCUUUUGUAAAGUCUCUUUGAGUAAGCUUGAAUGAUUUUCUCUCUGGCACCAAACUUUGUUGGCCAUUUAAUGUCACUUUUCACGACAGGGGUGCUUUAGAACCUAUGGUAGUUUCCUGAUGCCAUAAUUUACCCCUGUAAAUUUUCUAAAAUUUGUACAAAAAAAAUUGAUAAUCUUUUAUUAAAAAAAAAAUAAAACAAAGUAUAUAGUCCUCCCAACAUUACUUUGGUCUUUGGGCCCCAUAAAACCUGGAGAUCAAAGUAAUGCUGAGACGACUAUAUUUUCCCGAGGGCUGGGGGUGGUGGUGGGGAUGUGGACAACACCCACAUUGUGGAAGGGUCUAGCGGAGCCGUUCCGCUCAAGCUGUGGAGUCAGCAAACCCUUUGCCGUGGGUAAACGUGCAAACCCUUGUGCCGUGGGUCAAACGGUGCACUCUUCGGGACACGCUUGACCUCAAGCGUCAAUGAGGCGGGCUGUACGGGGCCCAAUUGGUGUUUAAUCACGUUACCGUACUAUGCGUGAAAUUGCUGUGACGCAAUUUGCUGAGCAUUGAUCGCACCCGGGCGCGGGCAUACAGCGAAAAAGCAGCGUCCUGGCUUAUGUGUGACGAACCCUCCCUCCCCCUGCCCCCGCGCUCCUCGCGGCUGCGGCUGCUGUGGAGGUAGUAGCGGGCUGCCGCCGCUACCGUCGUGACGUCACGGGUGCUUUGGGCGCUGCUGCGGUGGUUGUGGGGUGGUAGUAGCAGCAUCCUGCAGUAAGUCUACUACUGCCUCCACAGCUAACGAGAGCUGCAUCCGAGACGCCCGUGACGUCACUGCUGUAGUGGUGGCAGUCUGCUACUACAUCCACAGUUACUGCAGCGUAGAGUCAGGUCUAUGAAAUAAUGUAAAAUGUUGGAUAGUAAUUGAAUUCUUUAUUGUUUCAAAUCAUUUACAUUAUGAGAAUACAUCUUGCUCAAUUAGCUGGCUUGUUUCUGCUGGUGACUUUGGGCGAAUCUAAAUACCUGAAAAAGAAUGGAAAAAAUCUAAGUUAAAUUCAAAUUAUCUCAGAGUUCAACUUAAACAUGUUCUGGACCAUCGGUAUCACUCGUGACGCCAACUCAUCGAAGGAACUUUCUAUGUUACAGGUGGUAAGCAUCAAGUCCAGGCCCAGGCACACCCCUUUGGAUAAGGACCAGCAUCACUUCUUAUUUUACUACAACUGUACCAUACAAAUGAAAUAAAUAGCAGCAUUACUGUCA
Molecule: long non-coding RNA, 1561 nt
Organism: Frankliniella occidentalis (western flower thrips)
Lineage: Eukaryota; Metazoa; Arthropoda; Insecta; Thysanoptera; Thripidae
Exons: 3
Source: RefSeq, a predicted model, not a curated record